GAACGAAGUAGCAAUACUUAGUGGCAGACGGGUGAGUAACAUGUGGGUAUCUACCCUUUGGCCUAGAAUAACACGAGGAAACUUGUGCUAAUACUGGAUAAGUCUUAACGGAGAAAGCUUUAUGCACCAUUGGAUGAGCCCGCACUUGAUUAGUUUGUUGGUGGGGUAAUGGCCUACCAAGACUGUGAUCAAUAGCUGAUUUGAGAGGAUGAUCAGCCACAUUGGGACUGAGACACGGCCCAAACUCCUACGGGAGGCAGCAGUGGGGAAUCUUGCACAAUGGAGGAAACUCUGAUGCAGCGAUGCCGCGUGAGUGAAGAAGGCCUUUGGGUUGUAAAGCUCUUUCGUCGGGGAAGAAAAUGACUGUACCCGAA
RNAcentral lists this ribosomal RNA (374 nucleotides) under uncultured Pseudomonadota bacterium. Its description in RNAcentral is "bacterial SSU rRNA". It matches the Rfam family "Bacterial small subunit ribosomal RNA", at positions 64 to 483 of the family's 1533-position model. Lineage: Bacteria; Pseudomonadati; Pseudomonadota. The record is from RNAcentral.